CCUAGUCAAUUACUUGCACCUGCAUUUCUCAGCUUGUCACACUCCCCCUCUCUUUUAGGGUCUGGAAAUAACUGGGAGAGAAAAGCCUUGUUGAAAGAAGACAUCUCCAGGGAAAGCAUGCUGCUUCUUCAAAGACUCCAAUUUCAGAUGGAAAAAUACAUGGAAGCAGAGAUGGACCUUCCGGAGUUUUAGAUAAACCACUGUAGCUCAGUCAGAGGUCCAAUUAUGAUGAUACCCACACAGCCCUGUCCUCCCACAGCCUACAUCCAAUCAUCUGAGGAAGCUGAGUGGCACUGCGUUUAUUCACCACAGAUGCUACAGAAUCAGCAGGAGGGAAGACUGUGAAAAGGAAAAUUAUACUCUUUUAAGGUAAGUUACAGUGAGUAGAUACAUUAAGCACCCGUACUAGUGAAGCAAUCAACAUAAUCAUAUUUACAUUAAUUAGAACAUAAAUGAAACAAACCAAAUUUCUUUAUUGUGCUAUUUUUAUGUUUAACCUGGCAUGGAAACAUAGCAUCUGGGGAGAUUCUUUCUCAACUUGAAUACAUAAUCAACACAAAAAUAAUAGGAUAAAAACUUUAGAAGGAAAUUAGAGUAAUAUGAUAACAUGAAUUUAUAAAAUUGAGCCAUCUUAAGAGGGAAAAGUUUGCUUUGGUAAGAGAAGAAAGAUCCAGUAAACUUUCUCUACCAUGACUAAGAGAAUGAAAUGAACCAGAGGAUUUUGAUACAAUUAUUUUUUGGAUUUCAUUUUUACUUUUUGGCAGAGGUGGAAGGUAGGGAGAUAAUUGUCUCCCUACCUUAGAAAUGUUCAAGGCCUGUUGCCUUAAGAUUUCUAAAACACAUCUCUAAUAUGAGUGAGAGUUGAAUGCAUUACUGCAUAAUUAUCUAGGCCUUCAU
This 897-nucleotide long non-coding RNA is filed under the name Cercocebus atys (sooty mangabey). RNAcentral describes it as "lncRNA (ENSCATG00000045518.1)". Lineage: Eukaryota; Metazoa; Chordata; Mammalia; Primates; Cercopithecidae. The record is from RNAcentral.